Rattus rattus (black rat) is the source of this 871-nucleotide long non-coding RNA. RefSeq lists it as uncharacterized. The transcript has 4 exons. Lineage: Eukaryota; Metazoa; Chordata; Mammalia; Rodentia; Muridae. The record is from RefSeq and is a predicted model, not a curated record.
UGGGCUUAGUCCCAGGCAGAGGCAGGUUCAAGGCCAGCCUGGUAUACAAGUGAGUUCCGGGACAGCCAGGGCUACACAGAGAAACCCUGCCUCCAAAAGCAGGCUCAAUCUCCAAUUUACAUGACUCAAGGAGGGGAAGAGAAUGAAUAUGAAUUUGUGCAUGUGUGUUCUUCAGUUGUGUAGAUUUGUGUGAUUGUUAUUUUUUUCAACUUUUAACUUUUUUAGGUGGUAUACUGAGGAUCAAAUUCAGGACCUUUGAAAUACCAGGCAAAAGCACACUCAGCUCUAUCUGUCUGGCCCCAAGCUUCAGGUUUUGUAAGAAUGUGAUUCUAAGUAGAUGGUGUUGGAGCUCCCCUUCUUUUUCUUAUCAAGGUCAAUUGCUUCCAUUCCUGCAUGGACAGUAAAGGUUUUGCAGGAUUAUCUUUUUAAAGUGUGAAAUGAAACUUUUGUAUAUUAACUUUGAAAAAAAAUUGGAAUGAGACUAGAUAACAUCUAAUAAAUACCAAGAAAUACUUUCGUCUUACGCUCUUAAUACUUUUUUGUUUAGGGCAGACUAAUGCUACACGAACAGGCCUUCAGCAUUUGAAGAGAACUGUUACAGAUCUUCUGAGUUGUACGUGUUUUCUCCACUAUUCUCUGAAAAAACUGACAAUUUUUGCUGCUUUUAUGAAUUUUACAGCUACUAAUUCUCAGUGGAGAGUGAUAGGAAGUAGUUGUUUAUUGCGUACAGUCAAAAGUAGUAUUUCUCUAGGUGAUGUGUGGGGAGUGAGGCAAUAAUUUGAAAUAUCACUAAUGAAUGCAGGAAGUUGAGAGAAAAGAAAAAUCUUUACCUUUCCUUGUCUGGAUUUGUAGUUUUUAAAGUAUUACUGGA